AAGUUGAGGCGAGGGACAGGCUAAGUUGAGGCGAGGGACAGGCUAAGUUGAGGCGAGGGACAGGCUAAGUUGAGGCGAGGGACAGGGUAAGUUGAGGCGAGGGACAGGGUAAGUUGAGGCGAGGGACAGGGUAAGUUGAGGCGAGGGACAGGGUAAGUUGAGGCGAGGGACAGGCUAAGUUGAGGCGAGGGACAGGGUAAGUUGAGGCGAGGGACAGGGUAAGUUGAGGCGAGGGACAGGGUAAGUUGAGGCGAGGGACAGGGUAAGUUGAGGCGGGGGACAGGCUAAGUUGAGGCGAGGGACAGGGUAAGUUGAGGCGAGGGACAGGGUAAGUUGA
Oncorhynchus tshawytscha (Chinook salmon) is the source of this 337-nucleotide long non-coding RNA. Lineage: Eukaryota; Metazoa; Chordata; Actinopteri; Salmoniformes; Salmonidae. The record is from Ensembl.